Molecule: long non-coding RNA, 2224 nt
Organism: Mus musculus (house mouse)
Lineage: Eukaryota; Metazoa; Chordata; Mammalia; Rodentia; Muridae
Product: predicted gene, 53764
Exons: 3
Source: RefSeq, a predicted model, not a curated record
CCUUAGAUGUGCAUGUCAGGGGGCCAUUUUGGAAAAAUCUCCUGGUCUUCAGUUUUCCGCUGCCUCCUGUCAGCCAGGCUGGAAAGGGGAGAAGAGGCAGGAAUGAGAGCAAGAAAAGACCGGCUCCCUGGCAGACAGGGCUGGGGGGCUCCUGACACCCUCAAAUGAGUCUGUCCGAGGGUUAGACAUCCCUAAUAACACCUUGAAGGCUAUGGCCACUGCCAGCCGGAUGCUCGGAGCCCUGGGCAUGUUUCCUUCUGACUUGGAGUCGGGGGAUGGAAGACUCCUUGGAAGAAUCUGGAACAACUGCACUAGACCUUAAAAGACAGGUUCUGAACAUCAGACCAAGACGUUUGAAAAGAAACAAGCAAGCCAAUAACGGCUGAGAGGAGAGAGCAAGGAGUUGAGAAAGGAGUUACUCUGCCAACUCAGGAAAAGGCAACAAACCAUGAUCGCAGCAGAGCCAGUUAUACAAAGGGGACCAGAAACUGAGCAUCCUACUACCCGAGUCAAUGGAAGCAAUGUGGUCCUUGAUGGUUGGCAUGAUGGAUGCCUCCAACAUUGCAUGGUGUCGGACUUCUUCCAGGUCUGUGGUGGCUGAGGGUAGAAGUGUUGGGCCUAGCUUCCAUGCUAGUGAGAACUGGGUAGCACUGGGUAUGUAAAGCCUGGGGCAGACAGUUUUCCUCAACCAUGAAACUGGAUGUGGGGCGUGCAGGAGCCUCUGUUGCCUUCAUCAUCUCUUCUACCACAGAACUAAUUUAUAGAUUUGGGAAAUCUAUAAAUUAAGUUGAGAUUGAAAUAUGAGACAUCAACAUGACUGACUGUGUUUCCUACUUGAAAAUGGAGGACCCUUUCCAUCCCCAUCUCCUACAUAAGCGUCUUCCCCAUUCUCCCAAUGCCACUUCUCUCUUCUCUCCUACUCUGUGCUUUUGGUCCUCUGGGUCAUAUCGUUUGCUCUCAGUGCGAUGCGCUCUCUCUCCCCUCUCCCCAUUUUGAUAUCUCAAUUUCUACUCCCCUCACCUAACUCAAGACAGGUGCUUAUGGGGAUCUUUUUUUUUUGCAUAAAUAAAUGUCACCUCACUCCUUAGCUCAUAUAGUGAGAAUAGCCCAAAUCUCCUUAUUCUCACUCUUUAAUUUCCAUAGCCCACUAAGCUGGUAUAAUUGUGAUACACCUCCCAGGUCAGAAUAGCCAAUUAAAACUGGGAUAAAGCGAAACCAAUAGAGAGGAAGCAGGUACUAGAAGAAAAUUAAAUUUAAAAAGUAUUUAAUUUGGUACCACCAACUUUACACAUCACAUAGUGAUAUCUAUUGGCUCCCCAUACCUUACAGAUUGACUUCUAAUUUGGGGGCACAUUUGUUUUUGCAGAAUCUACUUUGUGAAAGACAGAACUGGAUUUUGAUGGUCAAAGACAAUCUUGAAAAUAUGUCUGCAAAAUGUCUGAUUUCAAGUAUAUUCCAGGGAACCAGGCUAGGUUGAAUGUAUCUGCAAUGAGUCAAACAUGGGGUUUAUUUUUAAAAACAUACUUUGAUUAAUUUCAGGUACCUAAUUAUCUCCUCAAUUUAACAACCAUUUCUGUUUAAAUGACAGCUUUUAAAAUAUUUGACUCUAAUAAACCUCCCCUGAAAACUUGUUAUGCUAUUAAUUUGAUAAUACAUUUUUUUUUAAACCGAAUGUUCAUUUUGUAAAACCAACUCAGUGAGUAUCUAAAAAUAAGGCAAGCCCUUCUAGAAUGUGCUCCAAAAUAGUGUUUUGUGUUUUGCCAUCUCACUACCAAGGCAUCUAUAUCAGGUGGCCUCCCCAUCUGUUCGGAUGGCUACAGGUGAAUUUUUUUUUCUUCUGAGGCUGAGGCUCAUUCCAAGUCGAAGUUAAUCCAAAGUCCCCAAACCCAAUGGAAACUUGGUGGAAGAAGGGGUCUCCUUGCCACCCAACCCUCAUGCACAAACACCACUUGAGAAACUUAGAUUACUCCAUCUCUGAGUGCUCCUGAACACUGGCAUGGAGAUGCUUUGGGGAUCUAUAUGCCUUCUUAGCAUCAAAGGAUCAUAAGUGCAUCAGCAUCAUGAGAAGGAGAAAGCGAGAUUGUGAUAACAAAUGUGGACUUGCCUGCCCCAUAAAGCAUGGUGUGGGAGAACUGGCCCAGGAGUUCAGAGGCUCUCGACUCUAAGAUUCAUUCAAUCAAUGACUCAUGUUCCAGCCCUCAGAUCUGCAUUUAUAUAUGAUAAA